Molecule: ribosomal RNA, 484 nt
Filed under: uncultured bacterium
Lineage: Bacteria
Description: bacterial SSU rRNA
Rfam family: Bacterial small subunit ribosomal RNA
Source: RNAcentral
GACUACGCUGGCGGCGUGCCUAAUACAUGCAAGUCGAACGGGAUUCUUUGAUCAGUUUGCUGAGAGAAGGAUCUAGUGGCGGACGGGUGAGUAACGCGUGGGAAUCUGCCUCUUACUGGGGGAUAACAGUGGGAAACUACUGCUAAUACCGCAUAAGAUCUUCGGAUGAAAGGUGCAACUGCACCGGUAAGAGAUGAGCCCGCGUCCCAUUAGCUAGUUGGUGAGGUAAAGGCUCACCAAGGCGACGAUGGGUAGCCGGCCUGAGAGGGUGAACGGCCACACUGGGACUGAGACACGGCCCAGACUCCUACGGGAGGCAGCAGUAGGGAAUCUUCCGCAAUGGGCGCAAGCCUGACGGAGCGACGCCGCGUGAGUGAUGAAGGCCUUCGGGUCGUAAAGCUCUGUUCUUGAGGACGAAUAAGCCAGGGAGUGGAAAGCCCUGGUGAUGACUGUACUCAAGGAGAAAGCUCCGGCUAACUACGUG